CUGAGACACGAAUCCAGGCCCUACGGGGCGCAGCAGGCGCGAAAACUUUACACUGCGCGAAAGCGCGAUAAGGGGACCCUGAGUGCGUGCGCAAUGCGUACGCUUUUCAGAUGCCUAAAAAGCAUUUGGAAUAAGGGCCGGGCAAGACCGGUGCCAGCCGCCGCGGUAACACCGGCGGCUCGAGUGGUGGCCGCUAUUAUUGGGCUUAAAGGGUCCGUAGCCGGACCGGUUAGUCCAUUGGGAAAUCUUAUAGCUCAACUAUAAGGCUGCCAAUGGAUACUGCUGGUCUUGGGACCGGGAGAGGCAAGAGGUACCUCAGGGGUAGGGGUGAAAUCCUGUAAUCCUUUGGGGACCACCGGUGGCGAAGGCGUCCUACCAGAACAGGUCCGACGGUGAGGGACGAAAGCUAGGGGCACGAACCGGAUUAGAUACCCGGGUAGUCCUAGCCGUAAACGAUGCUCGCUAGGUGUCACGUGGAUUGCGAAUCCGCGUGGUGCCGUAGGGAAACCGUGAAGCUCGCCGCCUGGGAAGUACGGCCGCAAGGCUGAAACUUAA
Molecule: ribosomal RNA, 555 nt
Filed under: uncultured archaeon
Lineage: Archaea
Description: bacterial SSU rRNA
Rfam family: Archaeal small subunit ribosomal RNA
Source: RNAcentral